AUAAGAAUUUUCUAAUGUUUUUUUGUCAGAAAUAUACUACAAAAAAUUUUUCAAUCUUUUUUGAGAUAAUCAGAGUUUCUACUAUAAGUUUAUACUAGUAGUAGUAUCUGAUGUAUGAUAUCUUUUGUAAUGUUUACGAAAUUUGUGCUCAAGAUUGUUCUCGAGCUUCUUCUUCCAAGGAAUGUCAAUAUGUCGUGGCAAUUACGGAAGCGCGAAUAACGUAUAAUGAAGGACGUGAAUAGCGUGAAAAAAACAAUGCUAGAUAAUGUCAAUAUCAAGUCGACUAUGGCUCAAGAUUAAUCUUCUAAUUCGUGCCAAAUUAGGAUAUCAUCUACCAGUAUGAAAUUAUUUUCAUAAGCUGAAGGUUUAACAGUGUCUUCAUCUUCUUCAUCCUCGUCUUCUGUGCUAUAUUCUAGUGGAACAGACUGCUCAGGAGGCAAAUCAUUUGGUGAUCUUUUCAAGAUAGAUUUAGGUUUGGAAGGGCAGCUGCACCUGAAGCACUAUACUUUGCGAAGUAUCCAUCACCCAAGCAGGCAAG
Long non-coding RNA from Bombus pyrosoma, 538 nucleotides. RefSeq lists it as uncharacterized. Lineage: Eukaryota; Metazoa; Arthropoda; Insecta; Hymenoptera; Apidae. The transcript is spliced from 3 exons. The record is from RefSeq and is a predicted model, not a curated record.